AACGUAAGAAACACAGAAAGAACAGCUUUACUUUUUCCACUUAUUUAGGAGAAUGUCAUAAAAUACUCAUGGAUGGACAUUUUAAUCUAAAUGUUAAUAUGUAUAUUAACUCACUUAAUGAUGUGGCAUGUUUUCCUUUAAAAUCACUGUUAUAGAGAACAGAAUCUUGGAAUUAUUUUCCUCAAGAAAUGGACUCUUCUCAAAGCUUGGAUAUAUCACAGACCAGAAUUAACAUUGGAGCGGAAGGGUCUGAAGUGAUAGAGUUCCCGUCUUUGGAGGAAGGUAUAUUGACCCAGUCAGAAGAACAUGUAAAGGAACGAAACAGAAAUCUCUUAUGUUCUCCAUUGCUAGGUAAUGCCUUUGUAUUUUUUAACUAAUAGUAAUAUCUCAUAUUUGUAAAGUAGUUUUUGGGGGACUGUUAGUCCUGUACAUAAGUAAAUCCUUUUUGAGUUGAGGAGCUUUAUAGAGUUCUACUCAAAGGGAUUCGUUUGUUUUUUGUUUUCUACACUGGCCAGCUGGUCUAGUUAUGGCAAAUGUGCAUUUACCCUUCAUUUUAUCAUGCCCCAGUGCUCAUAGAAAGCAGAAAGGUGCACUUCCUCUUUAGUGGGUAUGCCUCUUCAGUUCCUGAAUUGGUAGAGUUGUUCUUGGGUAAUGGAGAUAUUAUUCUUUGACUGGUUCUCUCAGCAGUGGAGACUACAUGUUUCCAAAACCAACCAACAAUUGUCUGUAUUUAUCUUGUUCAAUUCUGAGAAUUUUUUAAAACUUAGGUUAUUAUCUUCAGCUUUGAGACCAAAAACUGAGAUAAAGAGGUUAAAUGGCUUAACUCAGGUAGAUCUUACUACUUUCCUUUGUUUAGGUUUAGAACAGUUUUAUUAGUUUUAAAAAGAUAAAUUUUUAUGCACCUUUCACAUCAUCAAGGGAUUAACUGAAAUGAUUUUAUAGAAUUUUGUAGAGAAGUGUGAUAGGAUUUGAUUCAGCAAGUUCUUUUCAAACAUAAGCUUAUAUUAUCUAAAUCAAGAUGUUAGUGCUAAAGUAUUCUAUGAUGUAGAUCAUUAAAGUCAUUUAAGUCCACAUUUUAACAUGUUGACAAAAUUAGAGUACUGUUGUUGGAGAGGUGAAAAUCAUAGUAGAUGAAAGGGGUGGGGUAAGGGGAAAGGAUGGUCAAAUAUUUGAAAGGCUGCCAUGCUAAAGAGGAAGCAAUUCAUUUUUUCCCCACAUUUUUAAAAUUGGUGCAUUAUGGGUUAUAUAUGGUAAUUGGAUUUGUUGAUAUAUAUUCAUACACGCACACAAUAUAACAAUAUAAUUUAGCCAGUAUAACUCCCCAGCACUUCCCCUCUCCCUCCCUGGCAAUUCAUUUAUUAUUUUUUAUUCAUUUAUUUAUGUAACAAGUAUCUUAAGUGUCUACUUGUUUGAUUCUAUGGAUAGAUCGAUGAAAUCCACUUUUUCUGAGAAGAUAACCUAAUAACAAAACAGUAGUACCCUAGGAUGAGUGUUAUAAUGGUCUGUAGGGCAAGAAUCUAAAUGAAAACCCCCAGGUCAAGGCUUGAUUUUGUAGUAUUUGUGAGCUAAGAAUGGUUUUUACAUUUUUAUUUUUAUUUUCUUUCUUUCUUUUUUUGUUUCAGUGCUUGCUAUUGAACCUAAGGGCCUCACAGCUAUAUCUCUAGCCAUUUUUAUUUGUUUUUUUAAAAUAUUUUUUUUAGUUGUACACAGGCACAAUAUCUUUAUUUUAUUUAUUUGUUUUUAUGUGGUGCUGAGGAUCAAACCUAGAACCUCACAUGUGCUACCAACUGAGCUACAAACCCAUUUUUAUUUUUAAAGGAUUGUAAAAACAAAAUAUAAGUGAUAGUCCACUGUGACCAACAAAACCUAAAAUAUUUACUCUGUCUUUGCAAAAAAUGUUUGCAGACAUGUUUAUAGGAGUUAAAAUGAGAAUACAGCACUUAUAGGGGGCUUUUUUCAAUUUGAUAUAAGAAAGGAUUUUCUAAAAGAGGCUUAAUAACAACAACAAAAAGUGAGUUUUGUGUCACAGCAAAGUAUCAAGCAAAAUUCCGUAAUAAAUUUUAGUAUGGGUAAGAGACUAUACUGUGACUUCUAUAAUGUUUUAAAAUGUAAAAGUAGUAUAAUUCCAGUUUCUCACUUACUGGAGAUAAAAUAGAACAUUUAAAAUUAUUGAGUAGAUCCCUGGAUCUGAUGGUUAGAGUAUAUUCCAUUUUACUAUUUUGUUAUGCAUUAAUUCUGUCAUUGGGUAUUUAGUUUGUCACCUGUGGCGAAUAUCACUGAUGAUGACAGAAUGGUUAAAUAAAAGAGAAAUCAAGGCUGUCAACAGUUGUCUAAAUGUGAGGAAAUAAGCAGUUGAAAGGUGUAAGAAAAAGGCUUGGCCAUACCACUUAAGCACAUAUGUAUGCCAUGCAUGUGAGAUUUAUCACUUGUUAACUCUGGCCUGUUCCUUUAGAAAAUACAUUUUCCUAUUUACCUGGGUUAACUCUCCAACUCCAUCUUGGAAUAGUGUUAAAUAUUUAACAAUAUGCUGAAAUGCUGCUUAUAAUUUAUUUAUUACUUGCUCUUUCUUAGUUAUACUUAGGUAGUUAUUUAAGAUAAUAAGGAUUUCUAAAGGCUGAAUGUUGUGUCUGUAUGCAGAUGCUAACAUACAAUAAGGGGAAUGGGGAGGGAAGAAUAGAAGGUCAUUGGAUUAGAUAGAGGGGAAUGAAGGGAAAGGGGUGAUGGGAAUAAGAAAGACAAUAGAAUGAACUUGACAUAACUUUUCUAUAUUCAUAUAUGGAAUACAUGACCAGUGUAACUCCACAUCAAGUAUAACCACAAGAAUGCGAAAUUAUACUUCAUUUAUGUAUGUCAAAAUACACUCUUCUGUUAUCUAUAUGUAAAAAGAACAAAUUUAAAAAAAUUGGGAAAAAAUUUUGAUGGAUAUGAAUAAGCUAUAUUUAUGUAGCUAGAAGCCUUGCGUGCUCAGUGGUACUUGUAGUUCUUAAAAAUGCAUCUCAUAGGGCCUGGGUUGUGGCUCAGUAGUAGAAAGUUUGCCUAGCAUGUGUGAGGCACUGGGUUCGAUCCCCGGCACCACAUAAAAAUAAAUAAAAUAAAGGUAUUAUAUCCCAUCUACAACUAAAAAAAUUAAAAAAAUACAUCUCAUAAAAUAUAUAUUAUAUGAAAAGUAAAAAUAAAAGAUAAUAUGGAUUUCUGUAGGUUUGGAACCUGAUUAAGGAGAACUCUUAAUAUAUUUUUUAAAAAUAUUUAUCUUUUAGCUGUAGUUGGACACAAUAUCUUUAUUUUAUUUAUUCAUUUUUAUGUGGUGCUGAGGAUUGAACCCAGGGCCUCGCAUGUGCUAAGCAAGCGCUCUACCGCUGAGCCACAGUCCCAGCCCCAGGAACUCUUAAUAUUUUUUAGAAAAGAUUCUUAGAUUCUUUAAAUGCUCAGCAUUUAAUUGGACAAUACAUUUUUAUACUUGCCCAAGAUUCCCCCCUGUAGCAUUAACCCUAGUAUAUUUGGUGACUAUGUUAAAAAAUCUUCAUCAUUCUUCAAGGGGUAAAGGACAUCUAUUUUGAAAGUUUAAGACUGUUUUUCUAAGUCAAAGGCCAAAGGAAAAAAAAUCAGUUGUUCCUGAUGGUAACAUCAGUAUUUAUCAAUUUCUCAUUUUUAAUUAGUUAAUUCAGUAAAUAAAUACUUCUGUUUUGAAUAUCUACUAAGUGUACAGAUACUUAGCUUAACCGUUGAGGAUAUAUCUGUGAACAAAGCGGAGGUAGAGCUGACAAUUUUUAUGGAAAACAAACAGACCAAAAAUGAAAACAAGAGUGUGAGGAGUUAUGAUAGAUAAAGUGUGCAAGGGUAUGAGAGUAUACAGGCACAUCUAGCUACUUGGGAGGCUAAGGCAGAAGGAUUAUAAGUUUGAGGCUAUCCUGAGCCAUUUAGCCACAUCCUAUCUCAAAAUAAAAAAUAAAAAGGGAUGAGAUGUAGUUCAGUAGUAGAGUACCCCUGGGUUCAAUCCCUAGUACUGAAAUAAAUAAAUAAAUAAAUUGAUAGAAAAGUGUUAGAGUACAUGGGUAUGUAAAGUGAAGGGCUCUAUGAAACAUGGCAUGUCAGCUUUUUAAACUAUGACUAAAAUACCUGGUAAGAACAACUUUUAGAGGAAGAAGAGUUCUUUGGGGUCAUAGUUUCAGAGGUUCAGUGCAGGAUGGUCAGACUCUACUGCUAUGGGCCCAAGGUGAGUCAGAGCAUCAGGCAGAAGAGUGGUGAAAAAGUGCUUAGCUGAGUAGAGCAUAAAGGGUUAAACCACAAUGCAAAGAAAAGACCACCGACUCCAGUUGAAAUCAAAUUAAAGCAAGCUUGUAAUUCAGACCAUCUGGGGCUGUCUCUCCCAAAAAUUGUGGGAACAGAAGACAGCUCAGCAGCUCUAGGAGCACAGCUUUAUAGUCCAGAAAGUUACAAAAAAAGGGGGGGUGUCUUGAGAACUUACAGAUAACACAAUUUUGACAAGUAUAACCCAAAGGCUGGUUAAUGGUCUACUGGUUCAGCACUUAGGGAGUAAAUUAGAUCCCAACAUCGGAAUUUAUGAGGCGCCAUUAGAGCUUCAGAAAGGGUUGUUAUCUGGCUAGGGAAAGCCAGGCAUGGGUGAGUUUAAGGCACGGGCAGGCAUUCCAAGCAAGUUUAGAAAUUGCAGUAAUUUAUAGUAAAGCCGAAAUUAACUUUUCAUGCCUUUGUGGCAAGAUGGCCUCCAAUCUUAAGAGGGAAUUAGGCUGGGUUUAUCAAAAGGAGCCAGGAACAAAAUAUAUAAUCCCCAAGGGCAGGCCCCUAGUGACCUGACUAUAGUUACUACCUAGUAAUCUAUUUAAAUUAUUAAUCCAUCGAUGAGAUUACAGAUCUCAUAAUCUAACAUUUCACCUCUGAGCUUUUCUGCAUUGUCUGUCACAGUGAGCUUAGUGGGGGCCAUCUCAUAUCCAAAUCAUAACACUUGGUUUGCAGUAAUUUGAAGGUAAACAGUGGUGAGAGGGUGGAGACUGCCUUUUAUACAUAGUAUUGCAGGAAUUCUGGUUUUGUUGUUGUUGUUUGUUUGGUAGCAGGGAUUGAACCCAGAGGUGCUUAACCACUGAAUCACAUUCCCAGCCCUUUUUUUUAUGUUUUUAUUUUGAGAUGGGGUCUCACCUAAGAACUGGUGAUCUUCCUGCCUCAGCUUCCUGAGCCACUGGAAUUACAGGUGUGAGCCACUGCACCUAGCAAUAUUGCAGGCAUUCUGAAAUUAAGAAAUUAUACUGUGGCAAUCAAUAUUGCAUCAUAUUGAGAAAGCAAUUUAGCUUAGCAAAAUACCACUCAUCAAGAUAAUUUUAAAUAGAAUUUUGUUUUGGUAAUAAAGUUUUUUUUUUGUUUCCAUUGAUAUUUAAUUUGCAGGGGGGCAGAGGAUUGAACUCUGGGGCACUUGACCACUGAGCCACAUCCCCAACCCUAUUUUGUAUUUUAUUUAGAGAGAGGGUCUCACUAAGUUGCUUAAUGCCUUGCUUUUGCUGAGCCUGGUUUUGAAUUCGUGAUCUUCCUGCCUCAGCCUCCUGAGCCAUAGGUGUGCAUGACCACGCAUGGCUAAUUUUUUGUUUUGUAUUGUACAACUGUUAUAAAGAGUAAGAACUUAGUACCUAGUUUAUGCGUAUUGUAAAAUUAACUUUAUUUAUUUUGUAGCACUGGGAUUUGACCCAGGGCCUUGUGCAUGAAUGCUAGUCAAGUUUUCUACCACUGAGGUGCACUCCCAGUUCCUCGUUCAUAGGUGUUUAAGGGCAUUGUCAUGAAUAUGAUUGAAGUUGACAGGAAAUCACAAGAAUUUUUUCCUUUAAAGCAAUAGUUUUCAAACUUUUUAGGUAAUUGGCAUCCUUGACACAUUUUAAAAUUAUUGGUAGCUCCAACAAGCUUUUGUUUAUGUGGGUUAUUGAUAAUUUCCACGUUAGGGGACUUAAAAUAGAAAUUUAUGUUUUAAUUUAGUUUUUUAGUUACAGAUGAACACAAUACUUUUAUUUUUUUAUUUUUAUGUGGUACUCAGGAUCGUAUCCAGAGUCUCACAUGUUAGGCAAGUGCUCUACCAUUGAGCCAUAACUCCAAUCCUCUUAAAACAGAAAUUGAGAAAAUAUUUAAUGAUUCAUUUAAAAAUAGCAAGUAAAUAUUUAAAAUAGUAAAGCUGAAAAUUCCUCAUUGUAUAUUAACACAAAGUGCAGUUUUGUAGAAAAUUAUUAUUUUCCAAAGCAAAAAUAUUUGUGAGUAGCCUUAUUUUACUUAAGACAGCAAGAUACUCAUAACUACUUCUGCAUUCAAUCUGUUGCUGCAUCAUACAUGUCAUAGAAAAUGCCACUGUUCCCUUUUAAGAGAAUGAGAGUGAGUAAGGCAAAUUAUAUUUUAAUAUUACUUAAAAUAUAAUUUUGAAUCUAGGUAUCUUUUAAAAGUGUCUUAGGACCUAGGAGUUCCUUGGCCACACUUUGAUGUAAUGGAUAUGUCUUUAUAUUACUUAAAAUUGAAAGAAACACUCAAAAUAGUUAUGAAACAAAUAGUGUUGUACUGGCUAAAAGUUAGUAUGCUUAGGUUCAAAUAUCAUUGGCACUUAAGCUGUUUGAAUGUGAAUAGAUUUCUUAAUACUUUUUUUUUUUUCCCCCGAGGGUGGGUAACCAGGGGUUGAACUCGGGGUGCUUGACCACUGAGCCAUAUCCCUAGCCCUAUUUUGUAUUUUAUUUAGAGACAGAGCCUCACUGAGUUGCUUAGUGCCUUGCUUUUGCUGAGGCUGUCUUUGAACUCACUAUCCUCCUGCCUCAGCCUGCCAUACCGCUGGGAUUUCUUGCAUGCCCCACUGUGCCCAGCCAGAUUCCAUAAUACUUUUUAAGUUUGGAAAUUAUGUUUCUUCAUGUAUUAUGUAGAUAUAAUUGUACCUGUCCUGAGGAUUAAAUGAAAUAUCGUAUGUUAAGUGUCUGGAUCUUGCUAGGCCCAAUAAAUGGUAGCUGCUAUUAUCAUUUUUUUAUUCUAAUGAUUGUAGAAAUGUCCAGUUAGCAGUAUAUUUAAGUACUUUAUAAAGUAUUACAUGUGUAAGCUAAACAAUCCAUUUUUAUAUUGCUCAGCAUUUUUAUAUUUGAAAUUUUACAGUCAUACAGGAUAACUUUGCUUCUCCUGAUUUGCCUUUGCUGACAUGUUUGACACAAGACC
This 7176-nucleotide long non-coding RNA is filed under the name Marmota monax (woodchuck). The record is from RNAcentral. Lineage: Eukaryota; Metazoa; Chordata; Mammalia; Rodentia; Sciuridae.